UACGGAAGGCAGCAGUGGGGAAUAUUGCACAAUGGGCGCAAGCCUGAUGCAGCCAUGCCGCGUGUAUGAAGAAGGCCUUCGGGUUGUAAAGUACUUUCAGUCGUGAGGAAGGUGUUAAGGUUAAUAACCUUAGCAAUUGACGUUAGCGACAGAAGAAGCACCGGCUAACUCCGUGCCAGCAGCCGCGGUAAUACGGAGGGUGCGAGCGUUAAUCGGAAUUACUGGGCGUAAAGGGCACGCAGGCGGUUAAUUAAGUUGGAUGUGAAAUCCCCGGGCUUAACCUGGGAAUGGCAUUCAAGACUGGUUAGCUAGAGUCUUGUAGAGGGGGUAGAAUUCCAUGUGUAGCGGUGAAAUGCGUAGAGAUGUGGAGGAAUACCGGUGGCGAAGGCGGCCCCUGGACAAAGGCUGACGCUCAUGUGCGAAAGCGUGGGGAGCAAACAGGAUUAGAUACC
This 452-nucleotide ribosomal RNA is filed under the name uncultured bacterium. Its description in RNAcentral is "bacterial SSU rRNA". It matches the Rfam family "Bacterial small subunit ribosomal RNA", at positions 340 to 786 of the family's 1533-position model. The record is from RNAcentral.